AGUCGUUUUUGUAGCAUAGCUCAUUUUAUUGUUUAAACAGUUUUGCAUAGGAAAUAUAUCCACUUCCAGUAAUUGACUGCAGUAAAAACAGCUGCUAGCAGUAUAGGCUGGAUAUAACAGUAACAAUCACAAAAGGUUGAGCCUCUAUUUACACUGAUUUUUAAUCUUGUGGCAAUUUUAGCCCCUGCAUCAAAUGUAACCAGCUUGAAGGCAUUGCCUAAAUGCUUCGCAUUACUAAAAAUCAAUAAAAAGAAGGGAUAUCAAGGCCUUCGCUAUACAGUUCACAAUGGACACCUGUGGCUCCUAGACUGUAAAUUAAAAAGAUAAAAUAAUAAAAAAAAAAAACAGGUUUCCAAAAUUCCUCUAAAACAUACAUUCAGAUACAUACAUAGACCUUGAACACACUUGCAGUGUAACUACGAUCACUACUGGAGACUGCUUACAUACUGUUUUGUUGUUGGUGUUGUUGUUGUUCGUUAUGUACAAAUCCGCCGUAGAUCCUCAGAGUGAAAUGUGUGUGCAGAGGGAAGAGAAAGUGCCACAAAAUCCCCACUACCCACCUCCCGUUUAAAAAACACAAAACAAACAAAAAAAAAACCAAAUCCAUAAACAACAAAUCAGCUCUGCAGAGAAAAGAAAAUACAUUACUUCAUCCUUUCACUGCACAUAAUGUAGCACUGACCCUCUUUGCUCCGACUCCCCAGAAAAGGAAGAUUAUUUUAGAGUUUAAACAAGUUUGAUGUGGACAUGUGUGUUGACAUAUUUAUAAUAUGAAAACAUUACAAAACAAAACAAAAAAAAAAUCAAUAAGCGUGUAAUGCAAAGAACAUUUUCCAGAUGACUACGCCACAUUCUCCUCUGAGUGACGCAAUUUAUGUUUUAUCACAUUCUACUGUUAUAUACAACAGACACUUGGACAGCUUGAACAGGCACUGCUAGCUUCUCAUCUCCGUUUGGUGAGUUACAACCUGUAAAAAUGCUGGUUUUAAUGUUUGCUUUAUAACCUGACGUUGACUGACUAGCAGCUAGCCAAAAGUAUGGAGGAUGUGUAUUGCUCGAGUGGGAUGAAAAUGAAGUUUCCUUUACGCCUGCACGCCUCUCAGUCCCUUCAGAACGCUCGAAGUAAAACAAAAAAUAAAACCACACGUAUUGGAUGAGUGCCACAGGUCCUCCUUGCAUAUGGUUGCCCUGUUCCUCUGUCAUGAUUAGAGUUGUAAUACUUUAGACAAAAAUUAAAAUAAUGAUCUGACAUGAUGCUGCGGACAGAUUGAACACUGUUUACAUUAUUUUUUUAAUAAAGUUUCAGGACGUUUUCGACAUUCAAACUGAAAAACAAACAAAAAAAUAUAUAUACCUCAGCUGGAAAAGUAAAGUACCCUAAAGUGAAGCACCUUAAAUUUAUACAAAGGAGGGGAUUUCUAUAUAGUACAUCAAGCAUGUGAAAAGUGCAAAAUGACUGAUGUGUAGAUACUGAUCUUGUAGGACAUUCUUGAGAAGACAAUUAAUUAUUGACCACGAUCAACCACAAAUUGGUCAGUAAAAUUAGAUAAGAGUGCUGGCUGUUUCGCUCCCUUGUCAUUUUAUGCUGUAGCAGUUUUGGUUUAAUGACCACAGGGCAUUUCGUUUUGACUCCGCAUCAAUUGGAUGUACUUAUUUUUCCAACAAAUGAUAUCCAUCAAAAUGCUUUUUGUAAUGAAAAUAAAACUAAGUGAAUUUGCAAUGUUUGAAGAACAAAGCGGUUUGCUUACAGGCAUUCAAUGGAAGUUGGAUGGGAUUAAAUGGCAAAACGCACAAAAUGGGGAACCACCAUGUUGGGUCAGCUGUUGUCUUUAUACACCAAGUUCGAACAUGAACCAUCAUUUUGUUGCUUCUUUUAUACCAUUUAAUACCUGUAAACAAAACCAUUUCACAUGUGUUCCUGCCUAUUGUUUAAUUUGUCAUAUAUUACUCAUGUUCUGUUACAUUUUGCCCAUUGGUUUAUUGUGGAGAUGAAUAUUCUUGAAAACGGAUUAGUGCACUUGUUCUGACGAAAAAAAAUACAUAAACAGGAUAUGAUUAUCGACGCGCAAACAAGGAACAAUUUAACAUUUUUCAAUUUGAAAAUAUUAAAUUGGGCUACUGAUUAAUAAAAGCCACUAGUGCCACAAAAUCUUAAUAAUGUGUUUUUAUUUCAAAUGGUAAGUUAAAUCAUGAGGCAGAUGAGAGCAUUUUGAUGUACUUGCUGUGGGUGUAAAACUGUCUGUUAGCCAGAACGAAACUAAACGAAGUGUCCCGUGGCAGAGCGCAGUAGCAGGAAGACCCAGGCAUGGCACAACCAAAACUGCAAAAGUACAAAUUAGAGAAGGGGCAAAAGGACCAGCAGCUAGCACCGAUUGACACAUUUCCAUUAGGAAACUAAAUAUUUCAUUCUUUUUAGGACGUUUGUCACUGGAGAUUUUACCCUGCUCGUCAUUCGUUUAAUGUCAGAUGCAAUCUGCGGCCUUUCAUUUUCUUUUUUUUUUUUUUUUUGUUGUUUUAUAUAUUUUCUUUUUUUGUUGUUUGCUUUUUACUGGUUUAAGUGACAUCACCCUCCCAGCUGCUACAACAAACACAUUCACACCACUCGCUUGUUCAACAAGAAUUUACACCCAUUUUGAGAGAAAAAGAAAAAGCAAACAAAAUUAUCAAAUAAAACAGAAAGAAAGAAAGAGAAAAGAAAUUACAAAUUUUGAGAAACGUCACAUCACACUUACUAUGGCCACUCUAAUCAAAGUACAAUUCAAAUAUUCAUGGAGUUUUUCCACCCCAAAAAUAGUUAUAUCUAAGCACUAGGAAUAAUGAGAAAUAAUAACAUUAAUAAUAGUAAUAAUAAAAAAAACCUUCAUUGUUGUUGUUCUUUAUUCUUACUGAUCUCACAUCUCUCCAACCUGCCACAUUUUCUUUUUUUUUUUUUUACAUACAGGAAUACAAACGUGAUGACAACACUAUUCGGGGUAACCUGGAGAGUUCUAACUCAAAUCCAGCAUCUAAAAUAAAAAAAUAAACUAAAUGCUAAUUAAUUUCUUUACCUAAAAUGGAAUUGACUUGCUUUCCCCCUCCCAACCCCCCAGAAAUGAAGAUUUACAAAUACAAUCUUCAAGAGAAGAGCUCCCCAGAAAAGUUUACAGUGUACAAACUCCUGUCCUACGGCAGGAUGUUAAAAAGAAAAACCAAAAAUGUUUUAUUUACUUGAACAAAAAGACCCUCAUCUUCUUAUUUCGUGUACCGUCGGAGGCACUCGAUCUCACAACGUCCAGCUCACAAACAACACAGCCGCUCUCGCCUUGCAUGCACACUUCAGCUGCAGAGGCAGAGUUUAACCCCCAGCGGACCGCAGCCAGCAACACGAUCAGGAUAUUUACCUUUAUGUACAGUCUCCCAAUUUUACCAAACACUGACAGUACAGUGACCCUUACACACACACACACACACACACCCCGCACAUGAACAGACACCCCUGGGGACAAUGCACUUCAGUGGGUCUCUGAUGGCCGAAGGCUGCAAAGCACUUUUUCUUUUUAAAAAAAAGACAGAACAGUGCACAUAGAACGGGGUGACUUUUUCAAAAUUAAUAUAUAUAUUUUUUGAUCUGCAUAAUAAAUCCGGGUGAAGACGAAGAGCUUGAGCUUGACUUGAGGAUCAUUUUGUUGCUGCUCACACCAGAGAGCGCUCGGGAAAAUUUCGCCCCUCAGAAAAGGAAAUAUUUCUUUCACGAUUGUAGGGAAAGAGUGCAAAAGAGCUGCUUUUUCUCUGAGAGAAAACUCUGAUUUCUACAUUAACGACUGUAUGAUUGAUAUACAUAAUGCCCUGUAAUAUGCCUGAGAGGUUUAGAUUGAGACUUCUGAACACUGCACGGGGAAGAAGAUGAUUGCCUAUGUGCUCUAUUUAAGUGCUAUAUAUUUUUCCUUAUCUAGUGGAUUCUAUUUAAGCUUCUAGUCGGCCAUUAAAACAACAUUCUUCUCUAGUCCAAUAAUUACUUUAACACACUUUUACUGGUUCUGCAAGGGGGAGUAUGUGUGUUUAUAUACAUUUAUACAAAUCUACUAGGUAUAAAAUACUCUCUAAAGGCUUGCCUGAGCCUGUCUGGAACUGAUUUGGACAGGUCUCACUAGCAUUAGUUGGUGUGUGAUUGUUGCGCAGGUCACAGGCCACUUAGCUGAUGUGUUCGUUAAGGCAUCUAUUCGGGAAUUGCAUUCGGCUGACGUCUCCCGAGAAAAAAGAGAGCAAGAGGGCCUGGCUGAAGCCCUCCGGGAUCUGAGACCGACCGGGAUUCUACGAGAAAAAAAAUGAUCUCCUACAAUGAUUGUCGUGCUCAAGUCAAGCCGUCUCUCCUGUAAAAUAUAUGAGCUCCUUUCGAAAGGUUACAUGCUAGCACCCCAGGUGGAAAGUUGAAAGAAAGAGUCACGGUUAGGCAUGGGCCGGUGUGGGUUUGAGUGAAAACACCACGGUGGCUAGGGCAUUUACAGGGACAUUUAAAAGCAACAUGACUGCUUUUAUAGAAAACAAAAGAAACAAUUAUUCUUGCUGCCGCCAAAACAAUUUAACAUAUAGAUUAUUGCAGCUAUAAAGUUGUCAAUAAAAUGUAUUUAUUAUUUUGAUUUUGAUAUGUGGACUUAAGCAACAAUUGAGAAAAAUCCUGCAUUAAACUUAUUAGUUUACAAGUAGACGACUGUAUUGCAGCAAAUGUUACACCUAAGGCAAGGAGUAGCGCUAGCUAACAAUAGCUAGUAAAUUAGGCUAGGAGUAUAGCUAGCUAAAAAUAGCUAUUAAAUUAGGCAAGGAGUAGAGCUAGCUAACAAUAGCUAUAAAUUAAGCUAGGAGUAUAGCUAGCUAACAUUAGCUAGUAAAUUAGUCAGAUCAUCAGCGUAUAGUUUUUCAAUUGUAGUUUUAUAAUUGACUUACUUUAAAGGUGAUUGGGGAACUCUUUUAUGUUUUACUCUCUCAUGUUUUAAAAUUGUUUCUAAACAGCUGAAUUUUUCUUUCUUUGUAAUUGUAGCAUCCUUUAUUCAGCUAGCUACUAAUUAAGCAUUAUUUUUAUGCACAGACAUAGGCAAAAAUAUAUAUAAAAAAACAUACUCUAAUUUUACCAGUAGUUUUAGUGUUUAAUGCACAGACUAUCAAACAUGUCCAUCAAUGUCUGAAACCACUUUCGGAGCAUUGUAGGCUAUUAUUAGCAAGUUAAUUCAUCGGGCUAGAUCCUGCACGUGUCGGAAUAAAGUGACAGGUGGGUAGUCCUUUAGUUACCAUUUCAUGAGUUUUUGGACAACUGGAAAUAUUUUCAAACAGCCUAAUUUAUGUUUUUUGUAGGUACAGUAAAGGUAUUUUAGAUUUUAUUUUCUAGCUAACCAGCUGUGAAGGGAUAGCGACAGUGCUGCUUCUUACAGAUGGAGAAAAACUGAUUUUAUUUCUUGUUAAAGACGUUUCAAACUUUCAAAAGCGGUGAGUGAAAAUCUUUAAAAACUUCAAGUAGCUCGAUAUGGCUAACCGACCCAUGCCUAGUCACAGCAGACUAAUUAGUGACUUUGCAGCCGUAGUAAGACCUACAUAGGAUGAAUUCUUAUGUUUUUUAUACAUACUUCUAAAAAAAUUCACCCUUUUCCAAAAAAAUAUAUUACACUGAAACAUGUCUGACUGUCAUUCGGUAGAUGCUGGAGAAAACAAGAAAAAAAAAAAAAUCAGACCUUGCCUUACACUGCAUAGAAAGCAGUCCCCACUUUGGUCAAUAAAAAAAAAAAAAAAAGAAAAAAAAAA
This is a long non-coding RNA of Xiphophorus couchianus (Monterrey platyfish), 5769 nucleotides long. RefSeq lists it as uncharacterized. The transcript has 2 exons. NCBI's taxonomy places the organism in Eukaryota, Metazoa, Chordata, Actinopteri, Cyprinodontiformes, Poeciliidae. The record is from RefSeq and is a predicted model, not a curated record.